ACAUACUAUGAGCAAGGAGCCCUUGUAGGCAUUUUGUCAAUAUAAACUUGGUCAAAAUCAUAAUAAUCCUCUGAGGUGGGUACUAUGAUUAUUAUUUUACAGGUGAAGAAAGAGAGGAAGAGGGGUUAAAUGACUUGGAUCACUGUAGCUGGUAACGAGGGCAGAAUGCAAUGCUCUGGUUGACUAGACAUAAGGUAUGUAUUUCAUCUGUGGUUGCUGGGAGUCAGUGACAUCACCCUGAAUCUUAGGGAGUUUUUCCCGUGAAAUAGAUUACAUUACCAAAUGAAUAGGAAAGGAUGCUGGGCGGAAAGAAACGGCCAAAUGUGAAUGAAGCCUUCUUUCAUUAGAUUUCAGCAGAUGUCCAAACCAGAGGCAGCAAUAAUUUAUUAAUGAAAACUUCAAUGGUUUUGCUUUUGAUUUUUGAAAAUUUUCUUGUAUUUUUAUAAAAUGUUUGAUAAUGUCAAGACAAAAUAUUACCACAGAUCUAGAAUUUUACUGGUAUGUCCAUAAGAUAUAUUCAGGAAAAAAAAAAAAUUAAAGGCACACUUCAAAAUAAAUGAAAAUCAUGAUCAAUAUGCAGUAAUGAUUUUACAAAGUCCAUAUUCCCAACAAAGAUUAUUCUUUAGUAAUUUGAACUCUUCCCUGUGAUAUAUGUGAUCACCUGUAUUAAAGAAAAAAGACUCUAAAAUAAGAGGGAAGGACUACAGGAAGGAAGAGAAAUUAAUUUCCAGUUGUAACCAGAAAAAGUAGAAGUCCUACAGAAAGGUACUUUGUGUGGUAUUCGUCUCAAAUUCCUUUAGAUAUACCCAUCAAUUGGAAAGAGAGCAUCCACUGGAGCCAAAUGACAUCUCCAGUUCCACAGAAAUAAAUAGUAGAGGAACAAGUUUUAAAUUGCUGUAAGAGCAAUUUAGCUUAGAUCACAAAGAAAUCACUGAAAAAAAAAAAAAAAAAAAAGAAUCCUUUACACUGAAAAGGAAAAACUUUUGGAAGAAAGAAAACUUUAGUGUACAUACAUUUCUCAUUAGCAAAACAAGAUCCCUUUUCUGAUUCACUAGAUAAUUUGUUCUGAUUUAAGUUGAGCCUUAUGAGUUCUUUCAACUGUUUCAGUAUUAACUAGGAUACUGAGAUAUGUUAAACUAAAAUUUACUUUCUGGCUAACCCAGAUAUUAUUACUUAAUCUUUUAUGAGAUAAUGCAUCAUUUCUCUUUAUAACUCCAAAUUUUUUUCCUAAAGCAAUUUUGAAAUAUGUAACUGUAAUUGCCUUCUGCUUAAAUACAGAAUUUUUUAAAGACUCAGUACACUUUUUUAAAUAAAUGUACUUUCUACACAUAAUUCACACAUAAUUCAAAAAUGGAAAAAAAUAUUUUACUCAGAUUUGAAAAAAAAAAACACUAAGAUGAAACUUAAAAAUGUCAAGCAAGUAUUAUUUUCAUUUCCCAUGGGCUUUUCUUUCAAAAAUAAAAAAAUAGCAAUAUUGCUUAAGUAUUGUCAACUCCUGACCCUCAGGACAUGAGGAGAGUCCAAAGAAGACAAAUACCAUGGAAAGUUAAAUAGUGAUAGAGAUCAAAGAUCAAAAGGCAAAGAAGGCAUUCCCAUCGUUGCUCAGUGGUUAAUGAACCCAACUAGCAUCGGUGAAGAGGUAGGUUGAUCCCUGGCCUCGCUCAGUUGGUUAAGGAUUCUGUGUUGCUCUGAGCUAUGUUGUAGGUGACAGAUUGAGCUCAGAUCCUGCAUUGCUGUGGCCCUGGCACAGGCUGGCAUCUAUAGCCCCAAUUGGACCCCUAGCCUGAGAACCUCCAUAUGCAUCCAGUGCAGCCCUAAAAAGACAAAAACAGGCAAAGAAUAUUCCCACUUUAUUAAUGAAUUCUAUUCUGAGUAUCUAUUCUUAUAACUGGUGUCUGUCACUAUUUAUCAUCUAGAAAUGUACAAAGAAACCAAGUAAAGAAUGAAGAAACAGAAAACAGUUAUUGAUGACAUAGUGGUUACAAAACCAACAAACUGAGAUUCAAGUAUGAAGAGAGCUAUGUUUAAAGAGAAUUAUUCAGCAAUUAUUUUCAGAAUGUGGGGAAUUAGGAAGGAACUGGACAAUCAAAGCACCUUGGAAAGGAAGGGGAACUCACAUUUACUGACAAAGUCCCAACAUGGCAAGUAAUGUGCUUCGUGGUUUCAUUUUAGGACAUAAUUUUCCUCCACAGUGGUAAUUCAUGGGGGGGGGGGGUCAUGAAAUAUUCAAAAGUAAGCAAAGAACAUCACCAGCUUGAGGUGACUCUACAAGAAAUCUAGAGCAGUUAGGUAUUAAGGAGAAAAGAUAAAAUUUAAACUAGUUACAAAAUGGCUGAAGGAGGAAAGACUGAAUUAAAAAACAGUGUAUGAAUAACAACAAAACUUGUAUUUAAGGUGUCUUCUGGAAAACAAUGCACCAGAAAUCCAUUCAUCUAUUCCAUUGGUCCAAGCCAGAAACCAAUGGUGACAACCAAAGAGAUGCAAGAACACUAAUAACAGGGAAUGAUGCCGGAAGGCACAGGAAGGCAUGCAAAAUAUAAUCCCAACUGAAUAAAAGAAACUAUGGGCUGAGGCACAACUCUUUGAAACACAAACUCAUGCUGCAAGAAGAAAACAGUUUUGUCAAAUUGCUUUAAUUUGAAGCAGUAAAGGCUGGAGGAAAUGUGCUGGUAAAGACACAAGGUAUACUACAGUUCCCCUCCUCACAGAAUUCUAAGGCCAUGAAGGAGGAUCUUCAGUGAAGGCCUUCAACCACAUCCCCAGAGAGAUGAGGGAUGUGGCUUGCCCUCAGCUGAGCUGAAACAUGAAGUAGAAGGAUUACACAGAGCCAAACUCUGGAGUCAAAUUCUGGAAUUGAGGACAGACUGAAGAGAAAACAAAGUAAGAAACAUGGGCCCUCAGUUUAGUCAUGUCAACAGAUAUUAAGAGUAAACUUUAUAGAAACAAAAGUCACCACAAACGUUGAUAUUCCCAUACUUCCUCAGGCUAGUUAAUAAAAAUACAACAUUUAUCUAUAAAACAUACCAAUUAAUUAAGGGCAUGAUUAUGAGAUCUUGGUCAAGAAAAAGGAGAACCAAGGAGAACCUACCUCACGUCUACUAUUCUGGAAAAAAAUGGCAGAUCGAGAAAUUCCCCCAUAGAACAUCAGCCCUAAAAAACUAAUGAAGAAAACCUGCAACAUGAACAUGAAACUACGAGUGCCCACUGUAGCACAGCACGUAAAGGAUCCAGUGUUGUCUCCACUGUGGUUCAGGUCAUUGCUGAGGCACAGCUUCCAUCCCCACCCAGGAACUUCCACAUGCCAC
This 3305-nucleotide long non-coding RNA is filed under the name Sus scrofa (pig). RNAcentral's name for it is "lncRNA (ENSSSCG00000055202.1)". The record is from RNAcentral. Lineage: Eukaryota; Metazoa; Chordata; Mammalia; Artiodactyla; Suidae.